GUGGGUGUAGCUCAAUGGCAGAGCAUCGGAUUGUGGUUCCGAGUGUUGUGGGUUCGAGCCCCAUCACCCACCCCU
This 75-nucleotide transfer RNA is filed under the name Anaerolineaceae bacterium. Its description in RNAcentral is "tRNA-His". It matches the Rfam family "tRNA". From Rfam's summary of the family: Transfer RNA (tRNA) molecules are approximately 80 nucleotides in length. Their secondary structure includes four short double-helical elements and three loops (D, anti-codon, and T loops). Further hydrogen bonds mediate the characteristic L-shaped molecular structure. tRNAs have two regions of fundamental functional importance: the anti-codon, which is responsible for specific mRNA codon recognition, and the 3' end, to which the tRNAs corresponding amino acid is attached (by aminoacyl-tRNA synthetases). tRNAs cope with the degeneracy of the genetic code in two manners: having more than one tRNA (with a specific anti-codon) for a particular amino acid; and 'wobble' base-pairing, i.e. permitting non-standard base-pairing at the 3rd anti-codon position. Lineage: Bacteria; Bacillati; Chloroflexota; Anaerolineae; Anaerolineales; Anaerolineaceae. The record is from RNAcentral.